RNAcentral lists this long non-coding RNA (258 nucleotides) under Carica papaya (papaya). Its description in RNAcentral is "long non-coding RNA (CPAP_LNC016552)". The record is from RNAcentral. Lineage: Eukaryota; Viridiplantae; Streptophyta; Magnoliopsida; Brassicales; Caricaceae.
AAACAUCGAACCUCAUGCUGCAUUUAAAACUGUAAAACAGGCCAAAUAACAGUUAACCGACAAACACACUAGACUCGGGCUCCAUUAGCAACCUUAAGCAAUUUCACACAUUCGUUGAUUCAUGAAAUACCGUUUUAUCAUUUAUUGAACUUUAAUACCGUGAUAGGAAAUAGGGUGAGGGGUCCUUACACGUUUCGGGGUCCGAACACGGCUUCACAGUGCGCCUACAGGCUGUCCCUAAUUUUCCCUGAAUUUUUU